This 211-nucleotide unclassified non-coding RNA is filed under the name Hevea brasiliensis (rubber tree). Lineage: Eukaryota; Viridiplantae; Streptophyta; Magnoliopsida; Malpighiales; Euphorbiaceae. The record is from RNAcentral.
CUCUUCAUGAUCGGUACUGGUUUAGCAAUCCUUGGCGCUGGCAUCCUUGGCGCUGGCGCUUCGAUGUACGGGGCGAAUAAGGCGGCUAGCGUGCAGGGGGACNGCCAGGCCGCAGCCCUCCAGCAGCAGCAGAUGGCCGAGAACAAGGCCAACUUCGAUCCGUUCAUCAAGAGCGGGCAAGGCGCCUCCAACCUCUUGCAGUCGUUCUAUG